Molecule: ribosomal RNA, 267 nt
Filed under: uncultured bacterium
Lineage: Bacteria
Description: partial 16S ribosomal RNA
Rfam family: Bacterial small subunit ribosomal RNA
Source: RNAcentral
GUCCACGCCGUAAACGGUGAGUGCUAGACGUCGCGGGUAUUGACCCCCGCGGUGUCGAAGCUAACGCGUUAAGCACUCCGCCUGGGGAGUACGGCCGCAAGGCUAAAACUCAAAGGAAUUGACGGGGGCCCGCACAAGCGGUGGAGCAUGUGGUUCAAUUCGAAGCAACGCGAAGAACCUUACCUGGGCUUGACAUGUUUGAGAACCCUCUCGAAAGAGAGGGGUGCCCGCAAGGGAGCUCUUUCACAGGUGCUGCAUGGCUGUCGU